AGAUAUUCUGUUAAAUUACAAGCAAAGAGUAUAAUGGAUACACUGAGAGAAAGUUCCAUAUUUAUUCAGAGAAAAAUUAUAGCUCCUGGGAUGUGAUACAAUUUCAAGUUACAGAUUGGCCUACAGAUGGAAUUGUUAGAGAGCCGCAUACUAUCCUACAAGUUAUUGAUGAUGUUAUACACAGACAACAAAAGAUUGGAGGAGGACCAGUAGUGGUACACUGUAGUGAUACAGUGAGUCGUUCAGGAGUCUAUUGCUCAGUGAGUAUUGCUCUAGAACAGUGUAAAGCAGAAGGUGUAGUGGAUGUGUUUCAAGUGACCAAAGCUAUAAGAAGGAGUAAACCAGGAGCUGUUACUACACUGGAGCAGUAUACUUCCAUAUAUGAUGUGAUUGAUAUGUACUUCAAACUGCAUAGCACAUAUGCUAACUUUUAGUAGAUAUAGCAGACUAUUAUUGUCUAUAAUGUACCAUGAUUGCUGACAUUAUAAACGUAUUUGUAGAAAUUAUUGUUAUCAUAUGUUAUGUUUGCAGUAUUUGUAUAUGCCAAACAGUUAACAGUUGUUAUUGUAUUUAAAAGUA
Molecule: long non-coding RNA, 579 nt
Organism: Amphimedon queenslandica
Lineage: Eukaryota; Metazoa; Porifera; Demospongiae; Haplosclerida; Niphatidae
Exons: 3
Source: RefSeq, a predicted model, not a curated record